GAUGAACGCUGGCGGCGUGCCUAAUACAUGCAAGUCGAGCGAACGGACGAGAAGCUUGCUUCUCUGAUGUUAGCGGCGGACGGGUGAGUAACACGUGGAUAACCUACCUAUAAGACUGGGAUAACUUCGGGAAACCGGAGCUAAUACCGGAUAAUAUUUUGAACCGCAUGGUUCAAAAGUGAAAGACGGUCUUGCUGUCACUUAUAGAUGGAUCCGCGCUGCAUUAGCUAGUUGGUAAGGUAACGGCUUACCAAGGCAACGAUGCAUAGCCGACCUGAGAGGGUGAUCGGCCACACUGGAACUGAGACACGGUCCAGACUCCUACGGGAGGCAGCAGUAGGGAAUCUUCCGCAAUGGGCGAAAGCCUGACGGAGCAACGCCGCGUGAGUGAUGAAGGUCUUCGGAUCGUAAAACUCUGUUAUUAGGGAAGAACAUAUGUGUAAGUAACUGUGCACAUCUUGACGGUACCUAAUCAGAAAGCCACGGCUAACUACGUGCCAGCAGCCGCGGUAAUACGUAGGUGGCAAGCGUUAUCCGGAAUUAUUGGGCGUAAAGCGCGCGUAGGCGGUUUUUUAAGUCUGAUGUGAAAGCCCACGGCUCAACCGUGGAGGGUCAUUGGAAACUGGAAAACUUGAGUGCAGAAGAGGAGAGGGGAAUUCCAUGUGUAGCGGUGAAAUGCGCAGAGAUAUGGAGGAACACCAGUGGGGAAGGCGACUUUCUGGUCUGUAACUGACGCUGAUGUGCGAAAGCGUGGGGAUCAAACAGGAUUAGAUACCCUGGUAGUCCACGCCGUAAACGAUGGAGUGCUAAGUGUUAGGGGGUUUCCGCCCCUUAGUGCUGCAGCUAACGCAUUAAGCACUCCGCCUGGGGAGUACGACCGCAAGGUUGAAACUCAAAGGAAUUGACGGGGACCCGCACAAGCGGUGGAGCAUGUGGUUUAAUUCGAAGCAACGCGAAGAACCUUACCAAAUCUUGACAUCCUUUGACAACUCUAGAGAUAGAGCCUUCCCCUUCGGGGGACAAAGUGACAGGUGGUGCAUGGUUGUCGUCAGCUCGUGUCGUGAGAUGUUGGGUUAAGUCCCGCAACGAGCGCAACCCUUAAGCUUAGUUGCCAUCAUUAAGUUGGGCACUCUAAGUUGACUGCCGGUGACAAACCGGAGGAAGGUGGGGAUGACGUCAAAUCAUCAUGCCCCUUAUGAUUUGGGCUACACACGUGCUACAAUGGACAAUACAAAGGGCAGCGAAACCGCGAGGUCAAGCAAAUCCCAUAAAGUUGUUCUCAGUUCGGAUUGUAGUCUGCAACUCGACUACAUGAAGCUGGAAUCGCUAGUAAUCGUAGAUCAGCAUGCUACGGUGAAUACGUUCCCGGGUCU
Molecule: ribosomal RNA, 1373 nt
Filed under: uncultured bacterium
Lineage: Bacteria
Description: bacterial SSU rRNA
Rfam family: Bacterial small subunit ribosomal RNA
Source: RNAcentral